This 275-nucleotide small RNA is filed under the name Plasmodium gaboni. Its description in RNAcentral is "RNA of unknown function RUF5". The record is from RNAcentral. Lineage: Eukaryota; Apicomplexa; Aconoidasida; Haemosporida; Plasmodiidae.
AAAAAUAUAUAUAUAUAUAUAAUAAUUACAUAUAUGUGUUUUAUUUAUAUAUUGCUUUUUUUUUUUUUUUUUUUGUGAUACAUUUUUGUUUUGUUGUUCAUCCUAUAAUAUCUCAUUAUCUUGUUCAUAUUUUAAAAAAAAAAACGCUAUUAUAGUAAAUAUAAAGUUAAAAGAUUGGAAAAUGUAUAUAUAUUUUCACAUAUAACAUAUGCCAUAAAAAAAAUAUUACAUAUUUAUAUAUAUUAUAUACAUAUGCCAUAUAUUUUCAUUUUAUG